ACUCAAAUGAAUUGACGGGGACCCGCACAAGCGGUGGAGCAUGUGGUUUAAUUCGACGAUAAGCGAGGAACCUCACCAAGGUUUGACAUACGGCUGCAGACCCCUGGAAACAGGGGAGCCUUCGAGGGUGCCGUACAGAUGCUGCAUGGUUGUCGUCAGCUCGUGUCGUGAGAUGUACCGUUAAGUCGGGAAACGAGCGCAACCCUCACCCUAUGUUUUAUAUGUCAUAGGGAACUAUCCGCUAUAAGUGGGAGGAAGGUGGGGAUGACGUCAAAUCAGCAUGGUUCUUACACCUUGGGCGACACACGUGCUACAAUGGGCAGUACAACGGGACGCCAAGCAGUAAUGCGGAGCAAACCCCUUAAAACUGUCCUAAGUUCGGAUUGUGGGCUGCAACUCGCCCACAUGAAGCUGGAAUCGCUAGUAAACGCGCAUCAGCCACGGCGCGUUGAAUACGUUCUCGGGUCUUGUACACACCGCCCGU
This 484-nucleotide ribosomal RNA is filed under the name uncultured bacterium. Its description in RNAcentral is "partial 16S ribosomal RNA". It matches the Rfam family "Bacterial small subunit ribosomal RNA", at positions 899 to 1397 of the family's 1533-position model. The record is from RNAcentral.